GAGUUUUUUUUUUUAAUGUUAUUUUUGUCAACCAGUUCUUCUGUCAGCAUAGAGCACUGGAUCUGUGAACCUAAAGGUAACUUUUAGGUUUAACCAGGGAAAUCCCACAAAACAACGUGGAAAGAAAAUGAAUCCCAUAAUAUGUUUAUUAAAAAAAAACUUUGAAAUAUUUUUUUAAAAGUUAUCCUGUUUCAUCUGCAAAACUUUAAAUCUUGAUAAAUGAUUUCUGGGACAUCAAAUUAAAAAAUCAUUUUGCUCUUUAUUACAGAUGUCCAGCUGCCUGUCAGAUGGGUCAUCUAUUUUAAUAUCUGAGAGAGUAAAUGGAUUGUUAAGGGGUAGUACGUUUUUUAUCCUCAUUAAAAACCUUGAAAUUUAAAUGAAUUUAUUAAUGAAGAUGUGGUAUUCUUAGCUCUCAAAAUGAAUGGUAUUGUCACCAUCGUUCUCAUCUCUCCCUUCCUCCAUUCUCCUCUCUUUGUACCUCCCCACCCCAUCCCCCCCACCCAAGUAUGAGUGUUUCCUAAGAAUCAUUUCUUGGCUUUUUAUUUUUCUCAGUUUCUGCCAUUUCCCUUGGAAAUUUAUUUACGUCUUAUGUUUAAUUUUGAAGUGUGUGAUUACUUCUGAAUCUAUACCUACAUCCUUAACCCGUUUCCAAGCCCCCAUAUCUGCAUUACCAAUUACUUGCUAGGCAUUUCCACUAAAUUUCCACUAGCCUAGAAGUCCCAGUGUGCUCUAAAUUAAGCUCCUCCCUCCUCCCAUAAAACUGAUAUUCCUUGGUAAUAAGUCAAGAUGGUUAUUUGCAUGGGCAGCCCUCAGUGCUGUUGCGGGGACUUGGAAAGGACGUGGGACACACAAUAUGAUUAUCCCUGCUGCCUUCCUACUGCUCCCAGAUAUUGCUGUGAGACUUUGCCUUCAACAGUGACUGGGGCUAACUCAUAAAAACAACUUAUUGGUAGAGCACCCACAUAUGCAGCUGUGGGCUGCUGCAUAAAUGGUGAUCAGUGUGAAUUGAGCUUGUGAGAGUAGGGUAGGCUAGAUUAUGCCACCGUAGGAAACACCAUCAAAAUCUCAGUGGCUUCAUACAACAAAAGUUAACUUCCUGCUCACGCCAAAUCUCCUGGGCAGUUCUUAUGGGGACUUAUCAUUUUAGGCUGCUUCACUCUUGUGACCUCUCCAUGAGCACCAUGGCAAUGGAAGAGUGUAGAAAACUGCACACCAAACCUUAAACACUUUCACCUAGAAACGACACAGACCACUUCUGACAUUUCACUGGCCAAAGGAAGUCACAUGGUCAUUACCAAACUUUAAGGGGGUCACCUUAUGCUUCAGCCAAGGUCAGUCAGCUCCAGGCAUUGAUCAUCUAAGCUCUUCUGUGACACAGGAGCCGGGAAGUGUCUUCCAUCUUGAUUCUACCCUGGGGACACACCAACCAUUAAUAAGUACGGUUUCAUCAACACAAGAACAUUUGCUGCUUUGGCUGACAUUGGUGAUCAUUCUCCACUUGAGGAGUGAAAAUCUCAGAGUGCUUGCUAACCUGUGGUCCUGCCUAAGUAUAAAUCAUAGCCUCAACAGACAUGCUGCAGUGAGCCACUUAAGAAUGCAUUGUAAUGCCAUGCAGACUGAGAUGGAAAUGUUCAUUACCAAGAUAUGACAGCAUUUAUCAAGAUGGGGCAUGCAGGAGGCAGCUGAUCAAUGAUUCUCUCUCAGCACUGAUGUUUCUAUCUCUCUCUCCCUCUCCAUUCCUCUCUGAAGUCAAUAAAAAAUAUAUUAAAAAAAG
Long non-coding RNA from Myotis lucifugus (little brown bat), 1774 nucleotides. RefSeq lists it as uncharacterized. Lineage: Eukaryota; Metazoa; Chordata; Mammalia; Chiroptera; Vespertilionidae. The transcript is spliced from 3 exons. The record is from RefSeq and is a predicted model, not a curated record.